CACUGUGAAGCUUGAGUGCAGGGUUGGGCCUGGUUAGCACUUGGAUGGGAGGCCACUUGGAAAACCAGGUGUCACAGCGG
RNAcentral lists this ribosomal RNA (80 nucleotides) under Periophthalmus magnuspinnatus. The record is from RNAcentral. Lineage: Eukaryota; Metazoa; Chordata; Actinopteri; Gobiiformes; Gobiidae.